GAUGAACGCUGGCGGCGUGCUUAACACAUGCAAGUCGAACGUGAGGGGGUAGCAAUAUCCUUGAAAGUGGCGCACGGGUGAGUAAUACGUAGGUAACCUGCCCUGGAGUGGGGGAUAACAGCUAGAAAUGGCUGCUAAUACCGCAUGAGGCCGAGACACUGGGAAGUGUUUUGGCGAAAACUCUGGUGCUUCAGGGAGGGCCUGCGGCCGAUUAGCUAGUUGGCGGGGUAAGACGCCCACCAAGGCAUUGAUCGGUAGCUGGUCUGAGAGGACGAUCAGCCACACGGGAACUGAGACACGGUCCCGACUCCGUACGGGGGGCAGCAGUGAGGAAUAUUGGGCAAUGGGCGGAAGCCUGACCCAGCAACGCCGCGUGGAGGAAGACGGCCUU
RNAcentral lists this ribosomal RNA (391 nucleotides) under uncultured bacterium. RNAcentral's name for it is "bacterial SSU rRNA". It matches the Rfam family "Bacterial small subunit ribosomal RNA", at positions 28 to 418 of the family's 1533-position model. The record is from RNAcentral.